CUGCUGGGAGGGGAUGGCGCAGCACCAACUGCUGGGUACCCCCCUUUUGUCCCCACUCCCAGCACCCCCGCAUCCCACUCCAGCUCAGGAGGCGGCCUCUCCCAGCGGACGCUGAACCCCAGGAGCGGUGCGGGGGCGAGAUUGAGUGAGCAAUGGAAUAACCAGAAGCUAAGACACCUGGCAAAAAACAAACUGAAUUCUAACUCUGAAAGAACUGAUGAGGACCUUGCUAUGCCUGCAGAGAGAAGGACUCUCCUUUUCUAAAUGAAUUGAUGGACUUCCUGCAUUAUUAAAUCGCCCUAUUAAUCAUCAAAAACCACUCCAUGAGGGAUGAGUUGGAAGACAGAACUGCGAGAACAUGUUUUAACUGUGUUCUGACAAGCAUGAAUGGAGAUCUGGAAAUCUACAUUUAUUUAAAGAACAUUUACAAGAUAAGUUGUGUAGGAGCUGUAAUGUAUCUCUCAAUCAGGUCCACUGAUUAAAAAAAUGUGAAUACCUCUCCUUACUUAUUAACCUCUAGAAUUACAUACUUUUGAUUGAGUAUUGAACAUAUUAAUCCAUAUUUUUCCAACUAAGUUUAUAAACUAAUUCUUCAUGAAGGAGUAAAUGUUACUAAAAUAUUUAUUAAGUUAUAUUUUAUUUCUAACUUUGUAUCAUGCUAGUCUUUAUUCAAAUGUCUUUAUACACAGCCAAUUUAAAAAAUAAGAUAAAUUAACAAUUUCUUAGAAGUGUGGCACCUGCUAUAUUUUACAGAGCUAUUUGGACCCAAUGUUCAAUGUAGACCAACACAAUUGUCAAAUAGAGUGUACAUUUACUCUAACAAGAAGCAAUAAUUUCAGUUAAAAAAACUGUAGUUCAAUAAAAUUUUAAUAAAAUUAA
This is a long non-coding RNA of Peromyscus californicus insignis, 879 nucleotides long. RefSeq lists it as uncharacterized. Lineage: Eukaryota; Metazoa; Chordata; Mammalia; Rodentia; Cricetidae. The record is from RefSeq and is a predicted model, not a curated record. The transcript is spliced from 3 exons.